CGACCCCAGGUCAGGCGGGGCCACCCGCCGAGCUUAAGCAUAUCAAUAAGCGGAGGAGGAGAAACUUACGAGGAUUCCCCUAGUAACGGCGAGCGAACCGGGACCAGCCCAGCUUGGGAAUCGGGCGGCUGCGCCGUCCGAAUUGUAGUCUGGGGAAGCGUCCUCAGCGGCGGACCGGGCCCGAGUCCCCUGGAAAGGGGCGCCGGGGAGGGUGAGAGCCCCGUCCGGCCCGGACCCUGCCGCACCACGAGGCGCUGUCGGCGAGUCGGGCUGUUUGGGAAUGCAGCCCCAAUCGGGCGGUAAAUUCCGUCCAAGA
This 316-nucleotide ribosomal RNA is filed under the name Plectocomia himalayana. Its description in RNAcentral is "eukaryotic LSU rRNA". It matches the Rfam family "Eukaryotic large subunit ribosomal RNA", at positions 1 to 315 of the family's 3401-position model. Lineage: Eukaryota; Viridiplantae; Streptophyta; Magnoliopsida; Arecales; Arecaceae. The record is from RNAcentral.